GUUUUCCCUUUGGCUGCACCUAUACUAAAAUUGGGAGUGAUACAGAGAAGAUGAGCAAGGCCAUUGCACAAGGAUGACACCCAAAGUCAGGAAGCAUUCCACAUUUUU
Small nuclear RNA from Talpa occidentalis (Iberian mole), 108 nucleotides. The record is from RefSeq and is a predicted model, not a curated record. NCBI's taxonomy places the organism in Eukaryota, Metazoa, Chordata, Mammalia, Eulipotyphla, Talpidae.